Molecule: long non-coding RNA, 558 nt
Organism: Bos taurus (domestic cattle)
Lineage: Eukaryota; Metazoa; Chordata; Mammalia; Artiodactyla; Bovidae
Source: Ensembl
GGAAAGGCGGCCGCAGUCUCAGGUAUCUGCCUCCCUCCCCCAACACCCGCAACAUCUGCCGCCUUAACUGCCUGAUCACUGAUGCGUGCUCCCAGCCAACAAAAAGUCGCGAUGGGCUCUCGGGAGACCUGGGGCUUUCUCCAGUGAUUCCGGACACUUGCUUCUGUUCCUGGGUUGAAAAUACCACCGGAAGCAGCAUUUUCUGAUGAGAUUACAGCACUUCUAGGCCAGUUUCCGAAGCAGAGGGGGAAACAAACGAAAAUGAAAAAAAGAAAAAGGAAAAAAUGGAGCACCUCCACCCACCCACCCAACAAGCCUGAACAGGAAAUGUUUAAAGACCGGUGAAGUACAAACCCCGAGCUUUUUCAAAAGAAACCGGGUUAAAGAUACCUGCCGUUGAUGUAGCAAUCUAGUCCCCGUCCCCGCGUUCCGUGGAGGAGAUUCCUAAAUAUCCAAACCCCAGUGGUCUUUAUCUGGCCCAGCUGCUUCUGCUGGAGAAGGAAUGUGGCACGUCAAGUGUGUGAACACUGCCUCUAUUAUAUCCACACGGGCUGAUUG